Molecule: ribosomal RNA, 253 nt
Filed under: uncultured bacterium
Lineage: Bacteria
Description: partial 16S ribosomal RNA
Rfam family: Bacterial small subunit ribosomal RNA
Source: RNAcentral
GACGGAAGGUGCAAGCGUUGCUCGGAAUCACUGGGCGUAAAGGGUGCGUAGGCGGCCGCGCAAGUCUGGCGUGAAAGCCCCGGGCUCAGCCCGGGAAGGGCGCUCGAAACGGCGCGGCUCGAGUGCCGGAGGGGAGAGUGGAAUUCCUGGUGUAGCGGUGAAAUGCGUAGAUAUCCGGAGGAACACCAGUGGCGAAAGCGGCCACCUGGACUGCACCUGACGCUGACACGCGAAAGCCAGGGGAGCGAACGGG